GAAAGUAAGACUAAUACCCAAUGAUAUCUCUAGAAGACAUCUGAAAGAGAUUAAAGAUUUAUCGGUGAUGGAUGGGGAUGCGUCUGAUUAGCUUGUUGGCGGGGUAACGGCCCGCCAAGGCAACGAUCAGUAGGGGUUCUGAGAGGAAGGUCCCCCACAUUGGAACUGAGACACGGUCCAAACUCCUACGGGAGGCAGCAGUGAGGAAUAUUGGUCAAUGGACGAGAGUCUGAACCAGCCAAGUAGCGUGCAGGAUGACGGCCCUAUGGGUUGUAAACUGCUUUUAUAAGGGAAUAAAGUGAGUCUCGUGAGACUUUUUGCAUGUACCUUAUGAAUAAGGACCGGCUAAUUCCGUGCCAGCAGCCGCGGUAAUACGGAAGGUCCGGGCGUUAUCCGGAUUUAUUGGGUUUAAAGGGAGCGUAGGCCGGAGAUUAAGCGUGUUGUGAAAUGUAGACGCUCAACGUCUGCACUGCAGCGCGAACUGGUUUCCUUGAGUACGCACAAAGUGGGCGGAAUUCGUGGUGUAGCGGUGAAAUGCUUAGAUAUCACGAAGAACUCCGAUUGCGAAGGCAGCUCACUGGAGCGCAACUGACGCUGAAGCUCGAAAGUGCGGGUAUCGAACAGGAUUAGAUACCCUGGUAGUCCGCACGGUAAACGAUGGAUGCCCGCUGUUGGU
RNAcentral lists this ribosomal RNA (676 nucleotides) under uncultured bacterium. RNAcentral describes it as "bacterial SSU rRNA". It matches the Rfam family "Bacterial small subunit ribosomal RNA", at positions 153 to 827 of the family's 1533-position model. The record is from RNAcentral.